RNAcentral lists this long non-coding RNA (1722 nucleotides) under Homo sapiens (human). Its description in RNAcentral is "PREDICTED lncRNA (TCONS_00011103)". The stretch from base 1042 to 1115 matches the Rfam family "mir-205 microRNA precursor family". Lineage: Eukaryota; Metazoa; Chordata; Mammalia; Primates; Hominidae. The record is from RNAcentral.
CUUGAAAUGGGCUGAGUCCCUCUUGCUCACCCUUGACUUGGAAAAACCAGUUUCUCUUUUAUUGUCUGUUACUAAUCUCUAUUCUAAAAAUUCAGCUCAAUUCUCAACCAUACUCCAAACUCUCUCUUUUCCAGCUACCUUUACUCCCUCUCCUUCAAUUCCACUUUCCUCUGCUUACUUUUUUUUUUUUUCUGACAGGGUCUCACUUUGUCGCCCGGGCAGGAGUGCAGUGGCUCAAUCUUGGGCUCACUGCAGCCUCAACCUCCCAGAGGCGGGGUUUCACCAUGUUGCCCAGACUGGUCUUGAACUCCUGAGCUUAAGCAAUCCACCUGCCUCGGCCUCCCAAAGUGUUGGGAUCACAGGCGUGAGCCACCGCAUCCGGCCUCAUGUUCUUUUUCAUUAAAGAGAGAAAUCAACUAUUCAGGACCGGCCCCCACCUUUCCUCAGGAGUCAUUUCUGUUCCGCACAGGCCUGCUGAACUGGGUGCUUUAUAUAGGCAAACUCAAAGCUAGGUCCUGAUGUCUCAAGGCACAGGUACUCGUACUUAAAGACACUGUCAUCUCUCAAGUACCCAUCUUGGAGGGUACGGACCCCACAUGAGGGUGAGGCUCUCUGCACACUCCAGAAAAGGACCAACCACACCGAGCUCAGUUAUGGCACACACAGUGGGACCUAGACAAAGGGAGAGGGUGACCGACAUCCCAACUAGGUAAACACAGAGGAGGUUCCACAUGGACUUAUCUGGGUGGCUGUUUUGAAAACGAGAAACAGUCAAGAGUCCCUGGCCCCACAGACCCACCUCCCCAACUCAGCACUGUCUGUCUGUGCAGCAGGUGCAAGGACGUGUUGAACUAGCUCUCUGCAGCCUCCUUGGAGGAUGUGAUCCUAUGGGAGGGGUAGGAGUAUUCAGGUCCUUGACAUCUCCCAAAUGUGUGAUUCCGGGAUGCCAAAGGCCUUUGGCCAGGUAAUGCAGUGUCUACAGGCUGAGGUUGACAUGCAUCCCCACCCUCUGAGAAAAAGAUCCUCAGACAAUCCAUGUGCUUCUCUUGUCCUUCAUUCCACCGGAGUCUGUCUCAUACCCAACCAGAUUUCAGUGGAGUGAAGUUCAGGAGGCAUGGAGCUGACAACCAUGAGGCCUCGGCAGCCACCGCCACCACCGCCGCCGCCACCACCGUAGCAGCAGCAGCAGCAGCAGCAGCAGCAGCAGCAGCAGCAAGAGUAACUCUGACUUAGGAAUAGAGACAGCCAGAGAGAAAUGUGAUCAAUGAAGGAGACAUCUGGAGUGUGCGUGCUUCUUCAGAGGGACGGGUGAUGGGCAGAUUGGAAAAAGCACCGCAGAUGGGAACCUUAAUCUUUCUUUUCUAAAAUUGAUGCUAUGAAAAUUUGCGUUUUCUGUAACUUGUAAAAACUAAAAGUUGCUUGUCUACUGAAAAGCCUCUCUGCCUCUAUGUUUUAUACCAUCGGAUGCCAACUCCCGGCCUUCUAAGCCACCUCCCCUUUAGGCUAAAACUGAGACAUGAACUUGAAAAAUUGACACUGGCUUCCUCUCUCUUUAGGGUCCCCAGGCAGGUGGCUGGGACACUAUUUGCAAUCAGCAAGGAACCCUGCUGCCCUUAGACUCCCCACAGAGCAAGCAGAACUUGCAGAAUGGGGUAAAAACACUCUAUUAAAGAUUUUUUAAACCUAUUUAUAUUGUAAUAAAGUAAAUGUAAAUAAAAUUUA